This is a long non-coding RNA of Ailuropoda melanoleuca (giant panda), 1118 nucleotides long. RefSeq lists it as uncharacterized. The record is from RefSeq and is a predicted model, not a curated record. Lineage: Eukaryota; Metazoa; Chordata; Mammalia; Carnivora; Ursidae. The transcript is spliced from 2 exons.
GGAUUCCUUUCUUCACAGAAUGUCUGUCACCAUUUUGCCUUUGUGAAACGCAGUUUAAGAGUCACCUUGUGGUGGGCAGAGCUCUAAAAACGCCCCCUGCCCCUUUCCAAGAUUCUCCUCUUGGGAAUUAUUCAAUCAAACUCGAAUGCAAGGACUGCUGGGGAGAGACUCUGCAUGUGGAAUUUAAGUCCUAAGUACAUUGAGCUUAUGAUAGGGAGACUAUCUGGGUGGGCCUCACCCAAUCAGUUGAGCCCUUGAUUGAAAGAAUGACAAAGGCUUGUGGAAGUCCCCUCACUGGCUUUGAAGGCAAACAGGCCAUGUGGGAAGGAGUGGGGACAGCAGGGGAAGCAGAGGGCAGCCCCAGCUGUCAGCCUGCAGAGAGGUGGGACCCCCACGCCUCCUGUCACACAAAACGGGAUGGUGCCAACAGCCCGAAGGAGCUCAGAAGUGGAUUCUUCCAGAGCCCCCAGAGAAGAGUCCAGCUUGGCUGACACCUUGAUUCUGGCCUUGUGAGAUCCUGUGUCGGGAACCCAGGAAAACGAGCAUUGCAAGAGACGCUGCAAGGAGGAGCUGGGAAAGGAGCGUGAAGACAAUUCAGAGGACACAUCAAGCAAAGGAUUGCCCUACUUCAUUAGAGAGCCCCCCUCUUUCAUCUCUGUGUCUGACCAGAAAAGCUUGUUAGAGAAAGGACUCACCGCUGAGAGCCAGUGACAAUGUGUGGGGGCAGGGUGGGGAAGCGGACCGCUGGGAAGCUUUCUUUGGGUGACUAAGGGCAAAGACACACAGGCCUAUAAUACCAAGAAGAACAAUGUCUGCAGGCUGACCUCCCAGAUGGCUGGUUUGCAGAGGUGGGGCUGGCCCCAUAAUUAAUCUGCUUUCUUGGCCACAGCUAGCAUUCCUACCUGGGCAGCCGCUCCCCUUAAAGGGGUCCCUCACUUAGCAUCAUGGAGCAGACAAGUCAUCUGGGACCAGCCCCCGUAGGCACAAGUGGACAUGGAGGUCCGGAAAAAGGAUAAGACUUUGACAAGGUCCCAGGGGCCCUGACUUUCCAUUCCAGGAUUCCCCAACACACACACACACACACACACACACACACACACACACACACACACACACAC